This 453-nucleotide ribosomal RNA is filed under the name uncultured Paludibacter sp. RNAcentral describes it as "partial 16S ribosomal RNA". It matches the Rfam family "Bacterial small subunit ribosomal RNA", at positions 341 to 792 of the family's 1533-position model. Lineage: Bacteria; Pseudomonadati; Bacteroidota; Bacteroidia; Bacteroidales; Paludibacteraceae. The record is from RNAcentral.
ACGGAAGGCAGCAGUGAGGAAUAUUGGUCAAUGGACGGAAGUCUGAACCAGCCAAGUCGCGUGAAGGAUGAAGGUAUUAUGUAUUGUAAACUUCUUUAGCAGUGGAGUAAUAAGGGGAUCGCGAUCCCUGAUGCAAGUACACUGAGAAUAAGGAUCGGCUAACUCCGUGCCAGCAGCCGCGGUAAUACGGAGGAUCCGAGCGUUAUCCGGAUUUAUUGGGUUUAAAGGGUGCGUAGGCGGGCUAUUAAGUCAGCGGUCAAAUCGUGUUGCUCAACAAUACUGAGCCGUUGAAACUGGUGGUCUUGAGUGUAAAUGAGGUAGGCGGAAUGUGACGUGUAGCGGUGAAAUGCUUAGAUAUGUCACAGAACCCCGAUUGCGAAGGCAGCUUACCAAGAUACAACUGACGCUGAGGCACGAAAGCGUGGGUAUCAAACAGGAUUAGAUACCCUGGUA